UACGAAGGGGGCUAGCGUUGCUCGGAAUCACUGGGCGUAAAGCGCACGUAGGCGGCUUUCUAAGUCAGGGGUGAAGUCCUGGAGCUCAACUCCAGAACUGCCUUUGAUACUGGAGAGCUCGAGUCCGGAAGAGGUGAGUGGAACUCCGAGUGUAGAGGUGAAAUUCGUAGAUAUUCGGAAGAACACCAGUGGCGAAGGCGGCUCACUGGUCCGGUACUGACGCUGAGGUGCGAAAGCGUGGGGAGCGAACAGG
RNAcentral lists this ribosomal RNA (253 nucleotides) under uncultured bacterium. Its description in RNAcentral is "partial 16S ribosomal RNA". It matches the Rfam family "Bacterial small subunit ribosomal RNA", at positions 524 to 776 of the family's 1533-position model. The record is from RNAcentral.